Molecule: long non-coding RNA, 636 nt
Filed under: Rattus norvegicus (Norway rat)
Lineage: Eukaryota; Metazoa; Chordata; Mammalia; Rodentia; Muridae
Description: long non-coding RNA NONRATT015988
Source: RNAcentral
CGCUUCUGUGAGUAAAGGGCCCUGGAGCAGCAAGUCUGCAAAGCUGGGCUCUUUGUCCUCAGUCUGGACCGAGGUCCGGGCUUUGGUUCUCCUCCCCUCUCCAGUGGUUCUUGCCGUGUACUUCAAGCUAGGAGAGCAGUAAAGUUCUGCAUCCCCCAUGACUGGCCUCUCCUGUCCCUUAAUAACCCCCGACUCCUGACUGGCCUUGUUGGCCACAUCAUCUGGGAAUCUUUGAAAGGUCACCAGUCAUCCUCUGUUUGCUGAUGACGAGAAGAGUCAAGUUCCAAAGUGAUGAUAUUGUAGCCACACAGCAAAGGAGACCAUGGGUGACUAUUUCAGUUUGCCUGGCCAGCAGCCAUUUUGCCAAUCCCUGCAGUGCCUGAAGAGGAGUUUCUGACUUCAGUGAGCUUUCAGGUCUUUAAGUACCAAGUGUCUUGACAUGCCCUCAGACAUUCCAGGGCCACUCGGCAGGAAGAGGAGUGUCUCAGGGGAAGCGCAUGGAGAGAAAGCAAACACUGCUAAUUGCAGUUGAAAUGUCGACUCCCACUCUGUCCCCGCCACCCUUACUAUCUCAGAGAGUAAUUUUUAUUUAUUUUUCUCUGCAAUGUAAUUCACAUUAAACACUCUGAACAUGUU